CCCUUAGAUGUCCUGGGCCGCACGCGCGUUACACUGAUGCAUUCAACGAGGUUAUAACCUUGGCCGAGAGGCCUGGGCAAUCUUGUUAACGUGCAUCGUGAUAGGGAUAGAUUAUUGAAAUUAUUAAUCUUGAACGAGGAAUUCCUAGUAAACGCAGAUCAUCAAUCUGCAUUGAUUACGUCCCUGCCCUUUGUACACACCGCCCGUCGCACCUACCGAUUGGAUGGUCCGGUGAAGCCUCGGGAUUGUGGUUCUUGCCGCUUUAUUGUGGCGUGACCGCGAGAACUUGUCUAAACCUUAUCAUCUAGAGGAAGGUGAAGUCGUAACA
This 328-nucleotide ribosomal RNA is filed under the name uncultured eukaryote. RNAcentral describes it as "partial 18S ribosomal RNA". It matches the Rfam family "Eukaryotic small subunit ribosomal RNA", at positions 1470 to 1796 of the family's 1831-position model. The record is from RNAcentral.